GGAGCAUCUGGACCCCCUGUGAGUACAGUCUUCUCUCUCCUACUGACACUGACAUACCUGUAAAAUUACAAAUUAUCUUGUUUGGAAACCAAUAAUAUCUCCCUCAUUUUCUAGGGUCCUCCCGGUUUCCAAGGUCUUCCUGGUGAGCCUGGUGAACCUGGUCAAACAGGUCCCCAGGGUCCUCGUGGUCCCCCUGGUCCUCCAGGAAAGGCUGGUGAAGAUGGUCACCCUGGCAAACCUGGAAGACCUGGUGAGAGGGGUGUUGCUGGCCCUCAGGUGUGUAGUGAUCCACUGAAUACAAUACAAACCAGUUCACUAAUCCAUGAAACCUAACAACCUUUCUGAAUUUCACCACAUUAACAGUCUAGUAAUAUUCCUUAUAUGGAUUAAUACAAUUUCAGCCCUU
Molecule: long non-coding RNA, 406 nt
Filed under: Serinus canaria (Common canary)
Lineage: Eukaryota; Metazoa; Chordata; Aves; Passeriformes; Fringillidae
Description: lncRNA (ENSSCAG00000012458.1)
Source: RNAcentral